AUUGAACGCUGGCGGCAGGCCUAACACAUGCAAGUCGAGCGGAUGAAGGGAGCUUGCUCCUGGAUUCAGCGGCGGACGGGUGAGUAAUGCCUAGGAAUCUGCCUGGUAGUGGGGGAUAACGUCCGGAAACGGGCGCUAAUACCGCAUACGUCCUGAGGGAGAAAGUGGGGGAUCUUCGGAUCUCACGCUAUCAGAUGAGCCUAGGUCGGAUUAGCUAGUUGGUGGGGUAAAGGCCUACCAAGGCGACGAUCCGUAACUGGUCUGAGAGGAUGAUCAGUCACACUGGAACUGAGACACGGUCCAGACUCCUACGGGAGGCAGCAGUGGGGAAUAUUGGACAAUGGGCGAAAGCCUGAUCCAGCCACGCCGCGUGUGUGAAGAAGGUCUUCGGAUUGUAAAGCACUUUAAGUUGGGAGGAAGGGCAGUAAGUUAAUACCUUGCUGUUUUGACGUUACCAACAGAAUAAGCACCGGCUAACUUCGUG
This 484-nucleotide ribosomal RNA is filed under the name uncultured bacterium. RNAcentral describes it as "partial 16S ribosomal RNA". It matches the Rfam family "Bacterial small subunit ribosomal RNA", at positions 30 to 507 of the family's 1533-position model. The record is from RNAcentral.